GACGAACGCUGGCGGCGUGCUUAACACAUGCAAGUCGAACGGAAAGGCCCUGCUUGCAGGGUACUCGAGUGGCGAACGGGUGAGUAACACGUGGGUGAUCUGCCCUGCACUUCGGGAUAAGCCUGGGAAACUGGGUCUAAUACCGGAUAGGAGCCAUUUUUAGUGUGAUGGUUGGAAAGUUUUUUCGGUGUAGGAUGGGCUCGCGGCCUAUCAGCUUGUUGGUGGGGUAAUGGCCUACCAAGGCGGCGACGGGUAGCCGGCCUGAGAGGGUGGACGGCCACAUUGGGACUGAGAUACGGCCCAGACUCCUACGGGAGGCAGCAGUGGGGAAUAUUGCACAAUGGGCGCAAGCCUGAUGCAGCGACGCCGCGUGGGGGAUGACGGCCUUCGGGUUGUAAACUCCUUUCGCUAGGGACGAAGCUUUUUGUGACGGUACCUGGAUAAGAAGCACCGGCUAACUACGUG
This 465-nucleotide ribosomal RNA is filed under the name uncultured bacterium. RNAcentral describes it as "partial 16S ribosomal RNA". It matches the Rfam family "Bacterial small subunit ribosomal RNA", at positions 28 to 507 of the family's 1533-position model. The record is from RNAcentral.